RNAcentral lists this ribosomal RNA (1105 nucleotides) under uncultured Thermoplasmata archaeon. RNAcentral's name for it is "bacterial SSU rRNA". It matches the Rfam family "Archaeal small subunit ribosomal RNA", at positions 142 to 1248 of the family's 1478-position model. The record is from RNAcentral. Lineage: Archaea; Methanobacteriati; Thermoplasmatota; Thermoplasmata.
GAGAAUAACACUCCAUAAGUCUAGGAGGCUGGAAUGCACUUAGGCUGAAAACUUCGGUGCCUUAGGAUGAGUCUGCGGACUAUCAGGUUGUAGUCAGGGUAAAGACCUGACUAGCCUACGACGGAUACGGGUUGUGAGAGCAAUAACCCGGAGAUGAUAUCUGAGACACGAUAUCAGGCCCUACGGGGCGCAGCAGGCGCGAAAACUUCGCACUGCGCGAAAGCGCGACGAGGGAAUCCCAAGUGUAUGCACGUAAGUGUAUACUGUUUCUCUGUCUAAAAAGCAGAGAGAGUAAGAGCUGGGUAAGACGGGUGCCAGCCGCCGCGGUAAUACCUGCAGCUCGAGUGGUGAUCGUUAUUAUUGGGCCUAAAACGUCCGUAGCCGGUCUUCUAAAUGCCCUGGGUAAAUCGUAUGGCUUNACCAUACGAAUUCCGGGUAGACUGUUCGACUUGAGACCGGGAGAAGCUAGAGGUACUCCUGGGGUAGAGGUGAACUUCUGUAAUCCUAAGGGGGACGCACAGUUGGCAAAUGCGUCUAGCUAGAACGGGUCUGACGGUGAGGGAAGAAGCCCUGGGGCGCAAACGGGAGUAGAUACCCCGGUAGUCCAGGGUGUAAACGCUGCUUGCUUGAUGUUAGUCUGGCUCCGAGCCAGAUUAGUGUCGGAGAGAAGUUGUUAAGCAAGCUGCCUGGGAAGUACGGCCGCAAGACUGAAACUUAAAGGAAUUGGCGGGGGAGCACAGCAACGGGUGGAGCGUGCGGUUUAAUUGGAUUCAACGCCGGAAAGCUCACCGGAGGCGACGGUUACAUGAAGGCCAAGCUGAUGACUUUGCCUGAUUUUCCGAGAGGUGGUGCAUGGCCGCCGUCAGUUCGUACCGUAAGGCGUUCUGUUAAGUCAGACAACGAACGAGACCCUCAUCUUUAAUUGCUACUGGUAAGUUCGCUUAUCAGGCACAUUAACGAAACCGCUGGCGAUAAGUCAGAGGAAGGCGAGGGCAACGGUAGGUCAGUAUGCCCUGAAUCCUCCGGGCUACACGCGCGCUACAAAGGCUAGGACAAUGAGAUUCGACACCGAAAGGUGAAGGUAACCUCGAAACCUAGUUAUAGU